AGUAAGGAAUAUUGGACAAUGGAGGCAACUCUGAUCCAGCCAUGCCGCGUGAAGGAUUAAGGCCCUAUGGGUUGUAAACUUCUUUUAGACGGGACAAAACCCCUUUACGUGUAAAGGGUUGAUGGUACUGUCAGAAUAAGCAUCGGCUAACUUCGUGCCAGCAGCCGCGGUAAUACGAAGGAUGCAAGCGUUAUCCGGAAUUAUUGGGUUUAAAGGGUGCGUAGGCGGACUAAUAAGUCAGUGGUGAAAGCCUGCAGCUUAACUGCAGAAUUGCCGUUGAUACAGUUAGUCUUGAGUACAGUUGAGGUAGGCGGAAUGUGUCAUGUAGCGGUGAAAUGCUUAGAUAUGACACAGAACACCGAUUGCGAAGGCAGCUUGCUAAGCUGUAACUGACGCUGAGGCACGAAAGCGUGGGGAGCAAACAGGAUUAGAUACCCUGGUAGUCCACGCCCUAAACGAUGAUAACUCGCUGUUGGCGAUACACUGUCAGCAGCCAAGCGAAAGCAUUAAGUUAUCCACCUGGGGAGUACGACCGCA
Molecule: ribosomal RNA, 537 nt
Filed under: uncultured bacterium
Lineage: Bacteria
Description: bacterial SSU rRNA
Rfam family: Bacterial small subunit ribosomal RNA
Source: RNAcentral